CUUCACUCUCACGCGUGUCUAUCAGCUUGGCUUCUUUCCCUCGCCCCGCCGCCUUCACACCCCACGUCUCUGAUCCCGUACCGUCGAAUCUCCCAGGGUUCCGAACGGAUUUGAGGGAGCGCGAGCGGUGUUGUGUGGCCUCAGUUCAUACCUUGUUGUUGAUGAGGAUUCGUGAUUUCGUGGUGGUGUUGGAUUGAUGCCGCUCGGGAAGAUUGAUCAGGGAGGAGAAUAGGCUCACAUUACUUUGGAGUUUAUUGACACCUGCUAGAUUCAAUCUGAUGGGAGCUGAGCAUCCUUCAAUGACCAGAUAACCAUGGUAACAUAGGACGCAAAAUUUACUUCCUUGGAGAUUUUCGAGCGGCCUUAUUCCACUCAAUGAACUUUUUAUUUCGAUAUCCCAAAGAUUAUUAGAGGUGGGCGACGGCGAACGACCAAAAGGACGACGAAAGUAGGGGGAGAAGGGGGAAAACGUUCCUUCUUUUUAAGUAGUAGAGAU
This is a long non-coding RNA of Lolium rigidum, 496 nucleotides long. RefSeq lists it as uncharacterized. The record is from RefSeq and is a predicted model, not a curated record. Lineage: Eukaryota; Viridiplantae; Streptophyta; Magnoliopsida; Poales; Poaceae. The transcript is spliced from 4 exons.